UUUCUUUUUUUUUCUUUUUUUUUUAGUGAUAAAAGAGUAUCACAGUAUCACCUCAAGGUGUGCCUUUUGUUUUUGACUACCUUGGCAUUACUAUAAAUAAUUUUGUAGAUUUACUUGAAUUUCUGUCUAACCUUUUAAGUUCUUUUCAUGUAACAUGGAUAUAAAAUACCAAUUGCAUAAAAUUAUGUAUUUAUAUUUCUCUCUUUUUGCCAAUUGGAUUAAUAUAACAUUUACAAGUUUUAGAAAACUGCGAGAAGUCAUGUUAACAGGCCUUCUCUUCUGAAGUGUGUUCUAAGUUGAUUUUCUGAUUGAGUUCUCAUUUGGGUGCCUUUCAUUGAAUUUCAUUUUCGUUCUGAACAAUGCAGCAACAGAACCAUAUGCUUGUUGUCAGCAAUUGGGUCAAACAUUGCCCUUUAAUAUAUGAAACAUUCAUACUAUUAGCAUGAUAAUCAUUCCCAUUUUGAAAAUUAAACAGCUUUCAAUUGUAGUAAAAACUUUUGUCAUUUUGCUAUGUGAUUGUAUCAUUUGUUGUUUGGACAUUGAUUGGCUUCAUUAUGAUAAUGGAAUUGUGUUCUUAUUGAAAUGGAGUUUCUUAUGAUUGAUGUUUCUAUAUGCUCUCAUAUCUUUAGACUGUGAUUACUCAAAUUAAUCAUGCCAUUGGAGCCUCUGGUAUUAUAAGCCAAGAAUGCAAGACAUUGGUUGCACAAUAUGGGAAAGUCAUA
RNAcentral lists this unclassified non-coding RNA (722 nucleotides) under Hevea brasiliensis (rubber tree). Lineage: Eukaryota; Viridiplantae; Streptophyta; Magnoliopsida; Malpighiales; Euphorbiaceae. The record is from RNAcentral.